RNAcentral lists this unclassified non-coding RNA (675 nucleotides) under Hevea brasiliensis (rubber tree). The record is from RNAcentral. Lineage: Eukaryota; Viridiplantae; Streptophyta; Magnoliopsida; Malpighiales; Euphorbiaceae.
AGGUCCCUUAAGCUUACCUCCCGGGUAACCUACAAUCUUGAUCUACUUUCCCUCUUUUUUGUCCUGAUUUAUUUGUUUAUUCUGAUGCUAUUGGUGCUUGUUUCUUCUUGUUUUCUUAUUGUCCUGAUUGAAAAGUCUGGGCAUUUCAAGUGAUCUAGAUCUUGAACUUGUAAAGAUUCUUUCUGUGUUAUUAGUAUUAUUAUUAUUUUGGGAAGAGGGAGGGAGGUUGAUGGGUUGUUUUUAGAUUUACUACCCAAUUCAUAUAGACUCAAAUUCUUCCAAUAGAAUUUCAAGUUAUAAGUUUUUCUUCGAAAUCUGUUGAGGCUUUUGUUAUGUUACUGAUUGCCAGCUAAUAAAAACAUUUCCAACUAUUUUACCACUCGAAUGUGAAAAUUAUCUGGCAAAAGCUAAUCUGGCCAUGGGUUUGAUGUUAGAUUCUGAAAUACUUUUCCCUAUGUAAAUGAUAAAUUCAUCAAGCUUUGAUCCCUGUUGUUUUUUACUUGGUCAGUAUGAUUGUAGUGUGAGGAUCAUUUUAAUUUCAUAUUUAUAUAUACUAUUUUUAAAAAUAGGAUGCUUUUGGUGAUGUACUAAAUCUUUAAUUGUAUUAUCACACCUGGAUUUAUAUGGUUUUUCUGUUUAAACUUUUGGGCAGACGCCAAGCAAUGGUAUCUCUAG